This 453-nucleotide ribosomal RNA is filed under the name uncultured bacterium. RNAcentral describes it as "bacterial SSU rRNA". It matches the Rfam family "Bacterial small subunit ribosomal RNA", at positions 355 to 825 of the family's 1533-position model. The record is from RNAcentral.
UGAGGAAUCUUCCGCAAUGGGCGCAAGCCUGACGGAGCGACGCCGCGUGAAGGAUGAAGGCCCUUACGGGUCGUAAACUUCUGUUCUGAGGGACGAAAUUUUUUGACGGUACCUCAGGAGAAAGUAUCGGCAAACCCUGUGCCAGCAGCCGCGGUAAGACAGGGGAUACAAGCGUUACUCGGAAUUACUGGGCGUAAAGCGUCUGUAGGUGCUUUGGUAAGUCUGUGGUAAAAGCUCGGGGCUCAACCCCGAGAGCGUCAUGGAAACUACCGAAGUUGAGCAGUAGAGAGGCAUCUGGAAUGCCGCAUGUAGGAGUAAAAUCCGUAGAUAUGCGGUAGAACGCCAAAAGCGUAGGCAGGAUGCUAGCUACUUGCUGACACUGAGAGACGAAAGCGUGGGGAGCGAAGCGGAUUAGAUACCCUGGUAGUCCCUGAGCGGGCUGGCAAGGCGCAU